This 775-nucleotide ribosomal RNA is filed under the name uncultured Neocallimastigales. RNAcentral's name for it is "partial large subunit ribosomal RNA". It matches the Rfam family "Eukaryotic large subunit ribosomal RNA", at positions 24 to 644 of the family's 3401-position model. The record is from RNAcentral. Lineage: Eukaryota; Fungi; Neocallimastigomycota; Neocallimastigomycetes; Neocallimastigales.
UAUGUGAUCGUCUCUCGCAUAUCAAUAAGCGGAGGAAAAGAAACUAACAAGGAUUCCCCUAGUAACGGCGAGUGAAGCGGGAAGAGCUCAAAUUUGAAAUCUUAAAGGGUUUCCCUUUACGAAUUGUAGUUUAAAGAAGUGUUUUCUGUUGAGGUUUUGGUAAAAGUUCUUUGGAAUAGGACAUCAUAGAGGGUGAGAAUCCCGUAUUUGACCUUUACUUUCAACUUUGUGAUACACUUUCAAAGAGUCGGAUUGUUUGGGAAUGCAGUCCAAAAUGGGUGGUAAAUUUCAUCUAAAGCUAAAUAUUGGCGAGAGACCGAUAGCGAACAAGUACCGUGAGGGAAAGAUGAAAAGAACUUUGAAAAGAGAGUUAAACAGUACGUGAAAUUGUCAAAAGGGAAGCGUUUGACACCAGUGUUGUUUUUCUGAAAAUCAAUUAAAGAACUGUUUAUGCUAAGCUUGUUUAGACUUUAUCAGCUAACUGUUUAGUUUUGAGCUUUUCUUUAAUGCACUUUUCAGUUAACAAGUCAACAUCAAUUUCUUUUGCUGUAAAAAAGCUUGAGGAAGGUGGCUUGAGAUUCGUCUUAAGUGUUUAUAGCCUCUUGCCUAUGCAGUCGGAGAGAUUGAGGUCUGCAGCGUAGAUCCUUCGGGGCUAAAUGCAUUUGUGCUAAGUUAUAGCAUUUUAUAGACAACUUGUUGACUAUGAUUUGUCUUGUAGCUUACUCGCUUAUGUUAUUUUACCUACGCUUAGGAUGUUGAUAUCGCGCUCUCACUG